This 463-nucleotide long non-coding RNA is filed under the name Carica papaya (papaya). Its description in RNAcentral is "long non-coding RNA (CPAP_LNC004254)". The record is from RNAcentral. Lineage: Eukaryota; Viridiplantae; Streptophyta; Magnoliopsida; Brassicales; Caricaceae.
CAAACUAAGUUUCGUUGCUCUGAGUCUUUUCCCAUCUUCACGGAGCAAAUUCCUGAUCGCCAAUACCCGUAACUUCAGACUAUCGAUCGACUGCUUCGAAGACGCCGUUUCUUUCUUGGAUUUCCCUCUGUGAAGAGCGCAGCGAAAAGCCCCCCGGGUGCGUACUGGGAGAACAGGCGCACCUCUUCUUCUGCCCACCAGUCGAUACAGACUCAUGGCUCAGACUUCGCUUCGGGGUAGAAAGACUGCGAGAAAUCAAACUGGGUCCAAUCAAGAACCGUGACGGAGGCGAGGAUGGGUUCUCACGGCCGUGGAGGUUGAGACGUGUGGGGGUGCGGGAAAAAGUUGCAGAGCGAGACGCCAUUGAUGUGGACUUGUGACACUGAAGUAAGGAGAGCAGGAGAAAAAGAAACGUUGCGGACCCAGUUUCUUGAUUUUCUUUAAUGAUUCCAGAGAAACAAAC